Molecule: long non-coding RNA, 929 nt
Filed under: Homo sapiens (human)
Lineage: Eukaryota; Metazoa; Chordata; Mammalia; Primates; Hominidae
Description: long non-coding RNA NONHSAT173477.1
Source: RNAcentral
CGUGGUCGUUCGGUCCUAUGUCGCGCCGGGCCCUCCGGAGGCUGAGGGGGGAACAGCGCGGCCAGGAGCCCCUCGGGCCCGGCGCCUUGCAUUUCGAUCUCCGUGAUGACGAUGACGCGGAAGAAGAAGGGCCCAAGCGGGAGCUUGGUGUCCGGCGUCCCGGGGGCGCAGGGAAGGAGGGCGUCCGAGUCAACAACCGCUUCGAGCUGAGAAGAGUUUUCGCCUUGUUGCCCAGGCUGGUCUAGAACUUCUGCGCUCAAACAAUCUGUCCACCUCAGCCUCACAAAGUGCUGGGACUACAGGCGUGAGUCACCAUGCUUGGUUGACUGCCCUUCUCGCAUCAAGUCCACCUUUAGUGGUCCCCAAGACCCCCGUCAAGGUUCAGUAAUUUGCUAGAUUCACAGCAGUUACUGAAAGCUUUUUGUUUUGAGAUGGAAUCUUGCUCUGUUGCCCAGGCUGGAGUGCAUUGGCACAAUCCUAGCUCACUGCAACCUUGAACUCCUGGGCUCAAAUAGUCCUCUCACCUUGGCCUCUCAGAGUGUUGGCAUUAGAGGCAUGAGCCACUGUGCUUGGCCCCGAAAAAUGGACAUUUUCCUCUCCCCCUAAAAAAAGAUAAAACUCCUUCCUGGUUAUUAACUGAAAUGCUGAUCGAGCUUUAUCCUAAAGAAGAUCAGUCGUGGACAAGAACCUUGUGAAAUGUUCCCCAUUUGAGACCCUAAAACUAAUGAAAAUCACAGCUUUUGGAUAAACAUUGACGAUCUUGAGGAUGACCCUGUGGUGAACGGGGAGAGGUCUGGCUGUGCGCUCACAGACGCUGUGGCACCAGGGAACAAAGGAAGGGGUCAGCGUGGAAACACAGAGAGCAAGACGGAUGGAGAUGACACCGAGACAGUGCCCUCAGAGCAGUCUCAUGCAAGUGGCAAACUCCG